This 64-nucleotide non-coding RNA is filed under the name unclassified sequences. The record is from Rfam.
GGCCACCUUCGGGGGGCUUCACCAUAGGCAGAGUUUCUGCCGCUAAGCAAACGGAAGACAGAAA